AGAGUUUGAUCUGGCUCAGAUUGAACGCUGGCGGCAGGCUUAACACAUGCAAGUCGAGCGGGGAAAAGUAGCUUGCUACUUAACUUAGCGGCGGACGGGUGAGUAAUACUUAGGAAUCUGCCUAUUAGUGGGGGACAACAUUUCGAAAGGAAUGCUAAUACCGCAUACGUCCUACGGGAGAAAGCAGGGGAUCACUUGUGACCUUGCGCUAAUAGAUGAGCCUAAGUCGGAUUAGCUAGUUGGUGGGGUAAAGGCCUACCAAGGCGACGAUCUGUAGCGGGUCUGAGAGGAUGAUCCGCCACACUGGGACUGAGACACGGCCCAGACUCCUACGGGAGGCAGCAGUGGGGAAUAUUGGACAAUGGGGGGAACCCUGAUCCAGCCAUGCCGCGUGUGUGAAGAAGGCCUUUUGGUUGUAAAGCACUUUAAGCGAGGAGGAGGCUACUCUAGUUAAUACCUAGAGAUAGUGGACGUUACUCGCAGAAUAAGCACCGGCUAACUCUGUGCCAGCAGCCGCGGUAAUACAGAGGGUGCGAGCGUUAAUCGGAUUUACUGGGCGUAAAGCGUGCGUAGGUGGCCAAUUAAGUCAAAUGUGAAAUCCCCGAGCUUAACUUGGGAAUUGCAUUCGAUACUGGUUGGCUAGAGUAUGGGAGAGGAUGGUAGAAUUCCAGGUGUAGCGGUGAAAUGCGUAGAGAUCUGGAGGAAUACCGAUGGCGAAGGCAGCCAUCUGGCCUAAUACUGACACUGAGGUACGAAAGCAUGGGGAGCAAACAGGAUUAGAUACCCUGGUAGUCCAUGCCGUAAACGAUGUCUACUAGCCGUUGGGGUCUUUGAGACUUUAGUGGCGCAGCUAACGCGAUAAGUAGACCGCCUGGGGAGUACGGUCGCAAGACUAAAACUCAAAUGAAUUGACGGGGGCCCGCACAAGCGGUGGAGCAUGUGGUUUAAUUCGAUGCACGCGAGACCUUACCUGGUCUGACAUAGUAGACUUUCCAGAGAUGGAUUGUGCCUUCGGAGCUUACAUACAGUGCUGCAUGCUGUCGUCAGCUCGUGUCGUGAGAUGUGGGUAGUCCCGCACGAGCGCCACCCUUUUCUAUUGCAGCGGGUAGCAGGACUUAGGAAACUGCAUGACACUGAAGAGGCGGGGACACUCAGUCUCAUGCCUACGACAGGGCUACCACGCUCAUGUCGAUACAAGGGUUGCUCACUCUACGGAUAGAAGUC
Molecule: ribosomal RNA, 1224 nt
Filed under: proteobacterium symbiont of Nilaparvata lugens
Lineage: Bacteria; Pseudomonadati; Pseudomonadota
Description: bacterial SSU rRNA
Rfam family: Bacterial small subunit ribosomal RNA
Source: RNAcentral